RNAcentral lists this ribosomal RNA (409 nucleotides) under bacterium. RNAcentral's name for it is "partial 16S ribosomal RNA". It matches the Rfam family "Bacterial small subunit ribosomal RNA", at positions 355 to 776 of the family's 1533-position model. The record is from RNAcentral.
UGGGGAAUAUUGCACAAUGGGCGAAAGCCUGAUGCAGCGACGCCGCGUGAGGGAUGACGGCCUUCGGGUUGUAAACCUCUUUCAGUAGGGACGAAGCGCAAGUGACGGUACCUGCAGAAGAAGCACCGGCUAACUACGUGCCAGCAGCCGCGGUAAUACGUAGGGUGCGAGCGUUGUCCGGAAUUACUGGGCGUAAAGAGCUCGUAGGCGGUUUGUCACGUCGUCUGUGAAAUCCUAGGGCUUAACCCUGGACGUGCAGGCGAUACGGGCUGACUUGAGUACUACAGGGGAGACCGGAAUUUCUGGUGUAGCGGUGGAAUGCACAGAUAUCAGGAAGAACACCGAUGGCGAAGGCAGGUCUCUGGGUAGUAACUGACGCUGAGGAGCGAAAGCAUGGGUAGCGAACAGG